Molecule: ribosomal RNA, 253 nt
Filed under: uncultured bacterium
Lineage: Bacteria
Description: partial 16S ribosomal RNA
Rfam family: Bacterial small subunit ribosomal RNA
Source: RNAcentral
UACGUAGGGCGCAAGCGUUGUCCGGAAUUAUUGGGCGUAAAGAGCUCGUAGGCGGCCUGUCGCGUCGACCGUGAAAACCCGCAGCUCAACUGCGGGCUUGCGGUCGAUACGGGCAGGCUGGAGUUCGGUAGGGGAGACUGGAAUUCCUGGUGUAGCGGUGAAAUGCGCAGAUAUCAGGAGGAACACCGGUGGCGAAGGCGGGUCUCUGGGCCGAUACUGACGCUGAGGAGCGAAAGCGUGGGGAGCGAACAGG